GACGGGUGAGUAACACGUGGAUAACCUACCUAUAAGACUGGGAUAACUUCGGGAAACCGGAGCUAAUACCGGAUAAUAUAUUGAACCGCAUGGUUCAAUAGUGAAAGACGGUUUUGCUGUCACUUAUAGAUGGAUCCGCGCCGCAUUAGCUAGUUGGUAAGGUAACGGCUUACCAAGGCAACGAUACGUAGCCGACCUGAGAGGGUGAUCGGCCACACUGGAACUGAGACACGGUCCAG
This 239-nucleotide ribosomal RNA is filed under the name uncultured Staphylococcus sp. Its description in RNAcentral is "partial 16S ribosomal RNA". It matches the Rfam family "Bacterial small subunit ribosomal RNA", at positions 102 to 334 of the family's 1533-position model. Lineage: Bacteria; Bacillati; Bacillota; Bacilli; Caryophanales; Staphylococcaceae. The record is from RNAcentral.